AUUUAUCUAAUCGAUAUGCCCCAAUGACGCAUAUAGCUAAGUUGAGGUCCAGUCUCUGCCCCAACUAGAGAGGUGUCAAUACCGCUUCACUGGUAAGGACAGUUGUAAGUGACCCUUAUCUGGCAGGUACUCAAAUAAGAACGGUGGGAACCCUAAACUGACAGUUUAAGCCACCUCAUUAACCCUAAUCUGACAGGUUAAGAUAUCUCGACCUACGCUGGCU
This 223-nucleotide long non-coding RNA is filed under the name Capsicum annuum. Its description in RNAcentral is "long non-coding RNA (CANN_LNC021358)". Lineage: Eukaryota; Viridiplantae; Streptophyta; Magnoliopsida; Solanales; Solanaceae. The record is from RNAcentral.